This 399-nucleotide RNase P RNA is filed under the name Acidobacteriota bacterium. Its description in RNAcentral is "Acidobacteria bacterium (activated sludge metagenome) RNase P RNA component class A". It matches the Rfam family "Bacterial RNase P class A". Rfam says of the family: Ribonuclease P (RNase P) is a ubiquitous endoribonuclease, found in archaea, bacteria and eukarya as well as chloroplasts and mitochondria. The record is from RNAcentral. Lineage: Bacteria; Pseudomonadati; Acidobacteriota.
AAAGCGGGCCGGGUGAUCGCCGGCGGUUCGCCGCUGGAGGAAAGUCCGAACACCAAAGGACAGCAGGCUGGCUAACGGCCAGGCGGGGCAACCCGACGGAAUAGUGCAACAGAGAACAGACAGCCCGAUGCGCUUCGGCGCAGGGCGAUGGUGAAACGGUGAGGUAAAAGCAUCACCAGCGAGUGUGGCGACAUGCUCGGCUAGGCAAACCCCCUGCGGUGCAAGGCCAAAUAGGGAAACGGUACGAAGGCUGUCCGCCUCAUUCCGCCUAAUCAGCGGAGCGUUUUCGGGUAGGUCGCAAGAGCGUCACAGUAAUGUUACGCCCAGAUGAAUGAUCGCCGCUUUCGAGCGAGCAAUCGCGCGGAAGCACAGAAUUCGGCUUACAGGCCGGCUUUGUAA